This 406-nucleotide ribosomal RNA is filed under the name uncultured bacterium. RNAcentral's name for it is "partial 16S ribosomal RNA". It matches the Rfam family "Bacterial small subunit ribosomal RNA", at positions 29 to 526 of the family's 1533-position model. The record is from RNAcentral.
AUUGAACGCUGGCGGCAGGCCUAACACAUGCAAGUCGAGCGAGCGGCGGACGGGUGUGUAAUGUCUGGGAAACUGCCUGAUGGAGGGGGAUAACUACUGGAAACGGUAGCUAAUACCGCAUACCAUCAGAUCUGCCCAGAUGGGAUUAGCUAGUAGGUGGGGUAAUGACUCACCUAGGCGACGAUCCCUAGCUGGUCUGAGAGGAUGACCAGCCAGACUGGAAGUGAGACAGGGGACAGUCUCCGACGGGAGUCGGCAGUGGGGGAUAUUGCGAAAUGGGCGCAAGCCAGAUGAAGCCAUGCCGAGUGUGUGAAGAAGGCCUUAGGGUUGUAAAGCACUAUGAGCGGGGAGGAGUUACCAGCAGAAGAAGCACCGGCUAACUCAGUGCCAGCAGCCGCGGUAAUUC